AACCAAGGAGGGGGCGGGCCCUGGGGCUGGCUGUGUUUACCGUGUGUGGGGUGAAGGCGGUUGGGUGGGAGUCGCCGCGCCCCUCAACGGGGCCGCGGGCGCCAUGGGGCUCCGCAGGAAGGGCAGGAGCCCGCCGGUGCUCAGCCCCGAGUUCGUCCUUCAGAACCACGCGGACGCCGCGUCCUACCUGGCCGUGGGCAUCCUGCUGGGGCUGAUGUUCGAGGUCACAGCCAAGUACGUCAUCAUCUUUAUUACUGUGCAGUACAAUGUCACCUAUACCAUUGAUGACAAGAGUGAACAUGUUAAUUUUUAUGAAUAUGGUCCUAAAGACAUUGCUACAAUCUUCUUCUACAUGCUCAUAGCUAUUAUUCUGCAUGCUGUAAUCCAGGACUACAUAUUAGAUAAAAUUAAUAGACGUCUGCAUUUGUCAAAAACAAAACACAGCAAAUUCAAUGAAUCAGGACAGCUAGCAUUUUUCUACUUAUUUUCAUUUGUAUGGGGAGCCAGUAUUUUGAAUGCAGAAGAAUUCACGGUGAACCCAACGUUACUGUGGAAAGAUUAUCCCCAUUCUCGUAUGCUUUUUCAGGUAAAAUUCUUCUAUAUUUGCCAGAUAGCCUAUUGGCUUCACGCACUGUCAGAACUAUACUUUCAGAAGAUCCGAAAGGAAGAUAUUCCAAGGCAGCUAUGUUAUAUUUGCCUUUACAUUGCUCAUAUCUCUGGUGCCUAUAUAUUAAAUUUGCAGCGUUUGGGGCUAAUUCUGAUGGUACCUCACUAUUUAGUGGAACUCAUUUUUCAUGCUUCACGUCUUUUCUACUUCAGUGAUGAAAACAAGCAAAAAGGAUUUACUGUCUGGGCUUUACUUUUCGUAAUGGUGCGUCUUCUGACCCUAACUUUAUCCGUCCUCACAUUUGGAUUUGGUCUGGCCAAAGUAGAGAAUCCAGGUUUCUCCAUAGCAGAUGGAAACUUCAAUGUACUCAGUGUGAGGAUUAGCUGCCUGGGUGCUGUUUGUUUAACGCAGGCCUGGAUGAUGUGGAAAUUUAUAAAUUUUCAGCUGAAGAAAUGGAGAGAGCAUAUUAAGAAGCAAAUUCCAAAGAAGAAAAUAACAAACACAAAGAACAAACUGACAAAAAAGGAACUAAACAGAGACAGAGCUUAUCAGUGGGCCCCAACAAGUUUCUAUACUGAUGUAUUCAUAAACAAAUUGGUGAAGUAACAAAACCUACCAAUGAGACAAAACUUCAGAUGCCUGACAGGAGAGCGUUGUGGAGUGAUCUUGCAAACAUGGAGAAUGCUCACGUCAUCAAUGGAGCAGCAAAGCUAGAAGAUGGAGAAUCACCAAGAAUAAGAAAAUGAAAAACAGUACAUGUAUGAGAUACAAGCUAAUAUCAGAAGACAAUGUUUGACAGAAUGCUGAGUUAAAGAAUUGAUCCUGCAAAGCUAUAAUUUGGAUGUCUCAUUAUUUAAGUGGACACUAUCAGGUUAUAUUUUUACAAUAUUUUUGUUAAUAACCCUAACUUUAUGAUAGGAUCCUCUUUGAUCUAGUUUAUCCCAGUAGUCAUAUUUAAACUCACUUAUCUCUAACAAUAAAAAUGGACAGAUCAAUUGUAACUUCCGGUUCUGUGAUCAGAAAUUAGUACAUUUUUAGUAUAUUUUAGUACAUUAGUAUAUUUUUAUUACAGAUAUUUCAGGAGGCUGUCUAAAUCUUAGUUGUUUGGUUUUAUGUUUUUAUACAAUCUAAAGUCUGUACCAGAAAGUUCUUACCAUAUUUGUUUAGCCUGUGUCUCCGUGAGAGUUAUUUUCUUUAUUGCACUCCUCUUAUAUGGAGUAAGAGGAGUAUCUAGAAGCUAUAUUGCAAAAAUAUACAGAAAAAUGCAAAAAUGCUUUAUAACUAAUUUCCAUUCGAAGAUUACAGAUUUAGAGUGCAAAUUCUGACAGGACAUUGCUAAUCUUGCAGUAUAAAGAUGUGGACUAUCUUUAGUAAAGAUGCAAAUUGUGUCCCUUGGCAGAAAUGGUAGAUUGCCUGCUGGAUUUCUGCUAUGGAUUAUACCCUCUUGUAGGAGGAGGGCAAAUGGAGGUGGAAAAAAAAAGUAGCCAGUUAAUAUCUGUUGUAUUUUAGCCCUUUGGAAGUUUUGUCGUUCAUUUUAAAAUAUUUUAAAAAGUUAGUAUUUUACACUUGCAACCACAUGCCAAUUUUUUUCCUCAACUGUUUUAUUUUCCUUUAAUUUGUAACAGCUGCUUCUUAAACUUGAGUCUAAUAUUGUUCAGGGAGGCAUUCAAACAGUAUAGCAAUGAAUGCUAUACCAAGCAUAACCUAAAGGCCUUUUUUUUUUUUCUUUGUCUCUGGAUAAUAAUUUAUUUUAGUCUCUGACUCAAGGUUUUUUGUUUUCAAAGGUAUUAAUUUGCUCCUUAUGUGAACACUUUAUUUAGAUGUUAUUUUAAUAUUAAUAUGCUUAUAUUAAAAUGAAUUAUUUAACUAUAGAGAGAUUAAUGGUAUUUUUGUAAAUAACUCUCUUAGGUCUUGAUGUUGAUAUCUUGAUGUUGAAUAAGUUUCAGGAACACAGUUUCUUAUUUGCCAUAACCUUCUGUGUGACUAAAUUGUAGGAAUAUUACAUUAUUCACAUAAACCUAUACAUUUCUACUAAAAGUGCGUACUAUGGAACUAGACUACAUUUGUUGAUACUUUUAAUGGACUUAAGUACUACUGAAUGCCUUGUUCAGUGAAAGUACCACCUCUUGAGCAGUUCGAAUGAGAUUUGCCUAGCCUUCAAGUAUUUCUCAGCAUGCUGCUCAAAAGGCAGUGUUUAAAGUAUACUGCAACUGCAAGCCUGAAGUUCUUGUCGAUUUCAGUGUGUUUAUACCUAAGUUAGCAAACUUUCAGACUGAAUCCAGAGGGGGUGUAGGUUCCAGUAUCCAUUUCUAGGCACAUGAAACUAGAUAACUUGGAACAUUAAAGACCUUUUUGGCAAGUGUUACCAGAAAGUAUGUUACUAAUACUACCACUUGAAUAAACUGAUAACACUCUUGGAUGUUCUUAAUCCACUCACAACACUCACGAUGGCCAUAUAUAUAUAUAUAUAUUAAAGACUGUAAUUUUUUUAUUUGAAGUAUUGUUGUAGAAAUACUAGUGCGAAGUCUCAGACAGGAUUUUCAAAAGUCUUAGAAAUGCAGGUCCUAAGUGCCAUGAAACAGACAAGUCAGCCUAUGCUUAAGGUCUAGGCUAAAGACUAUGCAAUAUGUUGGGGUAUGUGUUGGGGGGUUGUUUGUUGUUUUUUGUUUUUUUAACAGUUUUAUCAGUAUGCUUUUUUUUUUUCCUCCAGAGAACUAUGAAUGUCACAGAGUAACAAUCAAAUUAGAUGUUGACUUGUUCCUGUUUCAACCGUGUAGCCUUUGCUGAAGUUGCAUGAAAUCCGUUAGCACAGAUGUUGAGGCAUGUUCCCUAGUGGUGUGAUGUUAUAAUAAAUGAUCCUGUUAAGUAUUUUAAACAUUUAAGGCAUUAAUUUAUGUGAAUCUUAAGACUUUCAGAGCAAUUGUAUGUAGUAUUUUCUAACAAUCUAAUUGUAAACUUUAUAGGGUAGAAGUGCUCUGCAUAGUCACGUGUGUGCACAUCAAAAUGUAAAAUACUACCAUUCACCUGCUUUGGAAAACCAAAAUUAUAUUCUUUUACUUAUAACUUUCCUUUCCUCUCAGUGAGUAUCUAAGAUUAUUUUAUUUUUAUUUUGUUUUAAAGAUAAAACAGCAUCUCUUAGUGCAGAAAAUCUUACAUUACGAAUUUGCAUUUCUGGUUUUGAACAGUGUGAUAGGAAUGAACAGAUUUUCUUUUCAAUUUUUUUCCCCAAAAUCAAGACAAAUUCUUAAGCCGAUAUAUUUUGCAUCCUCUUCUUAAAAAGGUUUUGAGUUGACCACUUGAAGCAGAAUAGUUUGAAGGCUGUAUAGUGGCAUAAGGGAUUUGGAUGAUGGUGUUACUGUUGCCUGCUCCUGUUUAAAAGUCUACUAAAAACUAAUUAUUCUAAGUUCUAAACACAGAGGAUGUUGUCUUGGAGCUAGAGUUAGCAAAUUCUGCAAACAUAAGAAUUUCUAAAUGCUCAGUGUUUUGGAAUGCUGUGUAACUAUGCAAAUUGUUUCAUUAUGUUGUAGAUAAGUGAACUGGGAUGACAAAAGCAAUAUUUCAUCUGUAUUUGUUUCUUAGUAUUAGAAUGGGUUGCUACAUCUACUUAAAUUGAAAGCACACUUGUACUGCCUUUCUUAAACGAUCUGAAUGUUGACUGUCACCACAGAAAGUUCUAGCAGUUAGAGAAAUGGGUGGAAGAGCGCUGAUAUAUUGUAAAGUAUUAAAUUUUAGGUGUUUAGCUUUAAGUGUCAGUAGCUGGCAGUCACUUUAUGAACUUACUGACCAGAAACAAGAGAGUGAUGUUUACAAACAAUAUCAUUCUAACACUUCUAUUUGAUGCUUUUACAAUUAUCUCCUAAAAUGUAGAGUUACUCUACCUUGAAACCAACAGUGUACUGUGGGUUAUGUUGAAUGUGUGUCUGUCUGAUUGCAACAAAUACACGGGCUUGUUUUUAAUUCUA
RNA transcript from Anas platyrhynchos (mallard), 4569 nucleotides. It is a transcript of the gene named translocating chain-associated membrane protein 1-like 1, with no coding region annotated. Lineage: Eukaryota; Metazoa; Chordata; Aves; Anseriformes; Anatidae. The record is from RefSeq and is a predicted model, not a curated record.